This 1482-nucleotide ribosomal RNA is filed under the name groundwater metagenome. RNAcentral's name for it is "bacterial LSU rRNA". It matches the Rfam family "Bacterial large subunit ribosomal RNA", at positions 1134 to 2625 of the family's 2925-position model. The record is from RNAcentral.
GUAACAGCUCACUGGUCGAGCGACCUCGCGCCUAAGAUAAUCGGGGCUUAAGCCUAUUACCGAAGCUAUGGGUUCAGUUUUGCCUUUGGCAAAAAUGAGCGGUAGGGGAGCAUACUCUGACGAGUGAAGGUGUACCGUGAGGAGCACUGGACGUCAGAGUAGAGAUUAUGUCGGUAUGAGUAGCGAAAACACCUGCGAGAAACAGGUGCACCGAAAGUCUAAGGUUUCCUGGGGAAGGUUAAUCCGCCCAGGGUUAGUCGAGCCUAAGCCGAGGCCAAAUGGCGUAGGCGAUGGAUAAUCCGUUAAUAUUCGGAUACCAGUCAGGUGGCGUUAAAACUUUUUGUAUGACGUGGCGUGUUUAGGCCGGCGCAGUGUUGGAUGUCUGCGUUCUUUCCUGAGAAAUCAGGAGAGGGGAUCCCGUGCAAAUCGCACGGGCGAAUUGUUCUAAAACGUGCUGCCAAGAAAAGUACAAAAAGGAGUUGCUUGACUGUUCGUACCGGAAUCCGACACAGGUAGACCUCCAAAAUAUGGUAAGGUGCUCGAGAUAACCCUCGUUAAGGAACUCGGCAAAUUAGCCUCGUAAGUUAGCGAUAAGAGGUGCCCUUCAUUGAAAGGUGUAAGGGCCUCAGUAAAGUGGAUCGGGUGACUGUUUAGCAAAAACACAGCACUCUGCAAACUCGAAAGAGGAAGUAUAGGGUGUGAUACCUGCCCGGUGCUGGAAGGUUAAGGAGAGGAGUCAGCUUUUCGUAAGAUUAGCGAAGCCCUGAACCGAAGCCCCAGUAAACGGCGGCUGUAACUAUAACAGUCCUAAGGUAGCGAAAUUCCUUGUCGGGUAAGUUCCGACCUGCACGAAUGGUGUAACAAUAUGGGCGCUGUCUCAACGAGGGGCUCGGCGAAAUUGUAGUGGCGGUGAAGAUGCCGUCUACCCGCGACAAGACGAAAAGACCCCGAAACCUUUACUGUAUCCUGGUACUGGACUUUGGUCCGGUAUGUGUAGAAUAGGUGGGAGGCUGUGAAGGCUCGCCGCUAGGUGAGCCAGAGCCAACAGUGAAAUACCACCCUUAUCGUACUAGAGUUCUAACCUAUAGACUUUAAUCAGCCGUAGGGACAAUGCCAGGUGGGCAGUUUAACUGGGGCGGUUGCCUCCUAAAGAGUAACGGAGGCGCCCGAAGGUUCCCUCAGUGCGGUUGGCAAUCGCACGUUGAGUGUAAAGGCACAAGGGAGCUUAACUGUGAGACAUACAAGUCGAGCAGAUGCGAAAGCAGGGCUUAAUGAUCCGGCGGUAACAUGUGGGAGUGCCGUCGCUCAUCGGAUAAUAGGUACUUCGGGGAUAACAGGCUUAUCGGGCCCAAGAGUUCAUAUCGACGGCCCGGUUUGGCACCUCGAUGUCGGCUCAUCGCAUCCUGGGGCUGGAGAAGGUCCCAAGGGUUUGGCUGUUCGCCAAUUAAAGCGGUACGUGAGCUGGGUUCAGAACGUCGUGAG